RNAcentral lists this ribosomal RNA (428 nucleotides) under Bacillota bacterium. RNAcentral's name for it is "Firmicutes bacterium partial 16S ribosomal RNA". It matches the Rfam family "Bacterial small subunit ribosomal RNA", at positions 355 to 776 of the family's 1533-position model. Lineage: Bacteria; Bacillati; Bacillota. The record is from RNAcentral.
UGGGGAAUUGUUCGCAAUGGGCGCAAGCCUGACGACGCAACGCCGCGUGGAGGAUGAAGGUCUUCGGAUUGUAAACUCCUGUUGCCCGGGACGAAAAGCCUCGACCUAACACGUCGAGGUCUGACGGUACCGGGUGAGGAAGCCCCGGCUAACUCUGUGCCAGCAGCCGCGGUAAUACAGAGGGGGCAAGCGUUGUUCGGAAUUACUGGGCGUAAAGGGCGCGUAGGCGGCCUGCUAAGUCGAACGUGAAAUCCCCGGGCUCAACCCGGGAACUGCGUCCGAAACUGGUUGGCUUGAAUCCGGGAGAGGGAUGCGGAAUUCCAGGGGUAGCGGUGAAAUGCGUAGAUAUGUGGAGGAACACCGGUGGCGAAGGCGGCAUGCUGGACCGGCAUGGACGCUGAGGCGCGAAAGCCAGGGGAGCAAACGGG